This 497-nucleotide ribosomal RNA is filed under the name uncultured bacterium. Its description in RNAcentral is "partial 16S ribosomal RNA". It matches the Rfam family "Bacterial small subunit ribosomal RNA", at positions 28 to 507 of the family's 1533-position model. The record is from RNAcentral.
GAUGAACGCUGGCGGCGUGCCUAAUACAUGCAAGUCGAGCGAACAGACGAGGAGCUUGCUCCUCUGACGUUAGCGGCGGACGGGUGAGUAACACGUGGAUAACCUCCCUAUAAGACUGGGAUAACUUCGGGAAACCGGAGCUAAUACCGGAUAAUAUCUUGAACCGCAUGGUUCAAUAGUGAAAGACGGUUUUGCUGUCACUUCUAGAUGGAUCCGCGCCGCAUUAGCUAGUUGGUAAGGUAACGGCUUACCAAGGCAACGAUGCGUAGCCGACCUGAGAGGGUGAUCGGCCACACUGGAACUGAGACACGGUCCAGACUCCUACGGGAGGCAGCAGUAGGGAAUCUUCCGCAAUGGGCGAAAGCCUGACGGAGCAACGCCGCGUGAGUGAUGAAGGUCUUCGGAUCGUAAAACUCUGUUAUUAGGGAAGAACAAAUGUGUAAGUAACUAUGCACGUCUUGACGGUACCUAAUCAGAAAGCCACGGCUAACUACGUG